Molecule: ribosomal RNA, 228 nt
Filed under: uncultured bacterium
Lineage: Bacteria
Description: partial 16S ribosomal RNA
Rfam family: Bacterial small subunit ribosomal RNA
Source: RNAcentral
UGAGUAACACGUAUCCAACCUGCCGUCUACUCUUGGACAGCCUUCUGAAGGGAAGAUUAAUACAAGAUGGCAUCAUGAGUCCGCAUGUUCACAUGAUUAAAGGUAUUUCCGGUAGACGAUGGGGAUGCGUUCCAUUAGAUAGUAGGCGGGGUAACGGCCCACCUAGUCUACGAUGGAUAGGGGUUCUGAGAGGAAGGUCCCCCACAUUGGAACUGAGACACGGUCCAA